RNAcentral lists this ribosomal RNA (504 nucleotides) under uncultured bacterium. Its description in RNAcentral is "partial 16S ribosomal RNA". It matches the Rfam family "Bacterial small subunit ribosomal RNA", at positions 30 to 523 of the family's 1533-position model. The record is from RNAcentral.
AUUGAACGCUGGCGGCAUGCCUUACACAUGCAAGUCGAACGGCAGCAUGGAGAGCUUGCUCUCUGAUGGCGAGUGGCGAACGGGUGAGUAAUGCAUCGGAACGUACCGUGUAAUGGGGGAUAACGUAGCGAAAGUUACGCUAAUACCGCAUACGACCUGAGGGUGAAAGCAGGGGAUCGCAAGACCUUGCGUUAUACGAGCGGCCGAUGUCAGAUUAGCUAGUUGGUGAGGUAAAGGCUCACCAAGGCGACGAUCUGUAGCGGGUCUGAGAGGAUGAUCCUCCACACUGGGACUGAGACACGGCCCAGACUCCUACGGGAGGCAGCAGUGGGGAAUUUUGGACAAUGGGGGUAACCCUGAUCCAGCCAUGCCGCGUGAGUGAAGAAGGCCUUCGGGUUGUAAAGCUCUUUCGGCCGGGAAGAAAUCGCACAGGCUAAUACUCUGUGUGGAUGACGGUACCGGCAUAAGAAGCACCGGCUAACUACGUGCCAGCCGCCGCAGUAA